RNAcentral lists this transfer RNA (70 nucleotides) under Dipodomys ordii (Ord's kangaroo rat). It matches the Rfam family "tRNA". Rfam says of the family: Transfer RNA (tRNA) molecules are approximately 80 nucleotides in length. Lineage: Eukaryota; Metazoa; Chordata; Mammalia; Rodentia; Heteromyidae. The record is from Rfam by way of RNAcentral.
GGGAAUGUGGCUUAGUGGUAGAGUGCUUGCCUAGCAUGCAUGAAGCCCUGGGUUCGGUUCCUCAGUACCA